UUCUACUUAUAGUCAACACCCCAAUAGUAGCAUACACUAUUCACUUCAGGCAGUUCAAAAUCUGAUAUCUUUCGCCGGAACCCUCUGAAUAUCCGUUUGAGCUCAAAUUUGAUAGUCAUGUUCGGUUUUGCUUAACUUAACGAAAGAAAUUUUAAUAUUUCAGUUUCAACCCCGUUUGGUCACCGAAAGCCGUACCGAACUGUAAUCUUUUUCAGAUCACUGUCGGAUUUUAUUUUCCACCUUCCGGGUGUCAGAAUGAUAUGAAACUUUAAAUCUAACAUCAUAAAAUAAUUUUGACUUAUCCUCCAGUUUUUAGAAUUUUCUGACACUGUGCAUUUUCUGCUAAUUUAUCUGCCCCGUUUCACACAGAAAAUUCUAAAUUUUCUAUUUUCGCUCCGAUUUCAACACGGGUCAUUUCAGACUUAUAUUUUACUUCUAUAAGUCCAAUAAAAAUAGUAUCUCACAUUAUUUUUAUUUAUAUUUAUUUUUAUAAUAAAUUCCGGCAUACUAUACCCUACCGUAACUUCUUACUUUCAGGAGUUCGGUAUCUUACACUGCGCUACACCCACCCGAGACUCGUCUGCGGGACAACUACGUCUGCCCCAACGCGACUACUACUCCG
Molecule: long non-coding RNA, 622 nt
Filed under: Ananas comosus (pineapple)
Lineage: Eukaryota; Viridiplantae; Streptophyta; Magnoliopsida; Poales; Bromeliaceae
Description: long non-coding RNA (ACOM_LNC038658)
Source: RNAcentral